AGCUUUGCGCAGUGGCAGUAUCGUAGCCAAUGAGGUUUAUCUGAGGCGCGAUUAUUGCUAAUUGAAAAGUGUCUGACACAUAAAAAGCAAUCUUUUUUGUUAUUUGCAUUAAUCUUUAAAUUAUUUAUUUAUAAAAU
Small nuclear RNA from Lontra canadensis (Northern American river otter), 137 nucleotides. RefSeq annotates it as U4 spliceosomal RNA. The transcript has a single exon. NCBI's taxonomy places the organism in Eukaryota, Metazoa, Chordata, Mammalia, Carnivora, Mustelidae. The record is from RefSeq and is a predicted model, not a curated record.